GAUGAACGCUGGCGGCGUGCCUAAUACAUGCAAGUCGAGCGAACGGACGAGAAGCUUGCUUCUCUGCUGUUAGCGGCGGACGGGUGAGUAACACGUGGAUAACCUACCUUUACGACUGGGUUAACUUCGGGAAACCGUAGCUAAUACCGGAUAAUAUUUCGAACUGCAUGGUUCAACAGUGUAAGACGGUCUUGCUGUCACUUAUAGAUGGGUCCGCGCUGCAUUAGCUAGUUGGUAAGGUAACGGCUUACCAAGGCAACGAUGCAUAGCCGACCUGAGAGGGUGAUCGGCCACACUGGAACUGAGACACGGUCCAGACUCCUACGGGAGGCAGCAGUAGGGAAUCUUCCGCAAUGGGCGAAAGCCUGACGGAGCAACGCCGCGUGAGUAAUGAAGGUCUUCGGAUCGUAAAACUCUGUUAUUAGGGAAGAACAUAUGUGUAAGUAACUGUGCACAUCUUGACGGUACCUAAUCAGAAAGCCACGGCUAACUACGUG
Molecule: ribosomal RNA, 497 nt
Filed under: uncultured bacterium
Lineage: Bacteria
Description: partial 16S ribosomal RNA
Rfam family: Bacterial small subunit ribosomal RNA
Source: RNAcentral